GUGAGCUGUCCUGGGAAAGACAUGACCCAGAAAGAAGUUGCUCUCUUCAGAUGUGGAAGCUGAGGUCUGAACAAUGACAUAACUUGAAUAAGUUCUCAUUGCUAAUAAGAAGUGGAAGAAGUGAGAUUCAAGUACAGACAGAAGACUCUGCAAUUGCCUGUUGGCAUUUGUCUUGUUCACUGCUUAUAUC
Microcebus murinus (gray mouse lemur) is the source of this 190-nucleotide non-coding RNA. NCBI's taxonomy places the organism in Eukaryota, Metazoa, Chordata, Mammalia, Primates, Cheirogaleidae. The record is from RefSeq and is a predicted model, not a curated record.